GGGAGGCCGGGAGGGGUCCCUGGGCGGGGAGUUGCUGCGCAUCUGUUGUGUGUGUGCGUCUGUCUGUCUGUUCAGGUCUGUUUUAGGCUGUGUCUGUCUGUCUGUCUGGGUCUGUUUCAGGCUGUGUCUGUCUGUCUGUCCGGGUCUGUUUCAGGCUGUGUCUGUCUGUCUGUCUGGGUCUGUUUCAGGCUGUUUCUGUCUGUCUGUCCGGAUCUGUUUCAGGCUGUGUCUGGGUCUGUUUCAGGCUGUCUGUCUGUCUGUCUGGGUCUGUUUCAGGCUGUAUGUGUGUCUGCUCUUUGCUUCUGCUCCUGGCUCUGUGUGUAUUUCCCGGGUCCUGUGGCCCUCUUUG
Molecule: long non-coding RNA, 349 nt
Filed under: Homo sapiens (human)
Lineage: Eukaryota; Metazoa; Chordata; Mammalia; Primates; Hominidae
Description: HSALNT0395710
Source: RNAcentral